Long non-coding RNA from Homo sapiens (human), 657 nucleotides. Ensembl annotates it as long intergenic non-protein coding RNA 1044. Lineage: Eukaryota; Metazoa; Chordata; Mammalia; Primates; Hominidae. The record is from Ensembl.
GGGGCUGGACACCCGCUCAUGGCCACAGAGGGCAGCUUCCGGGCGACGCUCCAGCUCUGCCUCUCGGACUCCUCACGGACACAGGCGUGUGUUUGAAACGGAUCGAUGUCCCCCCGGUUCCUUUCACAGACACCAGAAAGCCCGCGAACACACCUCACAGGCUCCGAAGUCUCACUCUGAUCUUGGCUCACUGCAACCUCUGCCUCCUGAGUUCAACUGAUUCUCCUGCCUCAGCCUCACCAGUAGCUGGGAUUACAGAUGCCCAUCACCAUGCCCGGCUAAUUUUGUAUUUUUAAUAGAGACAGGGUUUUGCCAUGUUGGCCAGGCUGGUCUCGAACUCCUGACCUCAAGCGAUCCACCUGCCUCGGCCUCUGGGAUUACAGAUGUGAGCCAUCGCACCUGUGCGUGAAGGUUUUCUAACCUUCUAUCAGAUUUUCUAACCUCCCCAAGCCACAGGAUGAGAAAAGUGUGCGAUGCUCCCGCCUGAGGAAGCCAGCCCAGCCAACGCAGAGCCAAGGACCACUGAAGGCAUUGCCACUGCUACACGCUUGGAGCCAUCCAUGCCUGCAGCCGCGUUGAAUGCCUUCUGCUUCUUUCCUAUGCCAGCUUGAACUGGGUUACUUUUGCUUACAAAUGAAGUACUCUAACUCAGGAAAU